Molecule: ribosomal RNA, 253 nt
Filed under: uncultured bacterium
Lineage: Bacteria
Description: partial 16S ribosomal RNA
Rfam family: Bacterial small subunit ribosomal RNA
Source: RNAcentral
UACAGAGGGAGCAAGCGUUGUUCGGAAUUACUGGGCGUAAAGGGCGCGUAGGCGGUUCGAUAAGUCCCGUGUGAAAUCCCUCGGCUCAACUGAGGAAUUGCACGGGAAACUGACGGGCUUGAGUUCGGGAGAGGGAAGCGGAAUUCCGGGUGUAGCGGUGAAAUGCGUAGAUAUCCGGAGGAACACCAGUGGCGAAGGCGGCUCACUGGUCCAUUACUGACGCUGAGGUGCGAAGGCGUGGGGAGCAAACAGG